This 301-nucleotide ribosomal RNA is filed under the name uncultured bacterium. Its description in RNAcentral is "partial 16S ribosomal RNA". It matches the Rfam family "Bacterial small subunit ribosomal RNA", at positions 509 to 807 of the family's 1533-position model. The record is from RNAcentral.
CAGCCGCCGCGGUAAUACGUAGGGUGCGAGCGUUAAUCGGAAUUACUGGGCGUAAAGCGUGCGCAGGCGGUUUGUUAAGACAGAUGUGAAAUCCCCGGGCUCAACCUGGGAAUGGCGCUUGUGACUGCAAAGCUAGAGUGCGGCAGAGGGGGAUGGAAUUCCGCGUGUAGCAGUGAAAUGCGUAGAUAUGCUGAGGAACACCGAUGACGAAGGCAAUCCCCUGGGCCUGCACUGACGCUCAUGCACGAAAGCGUGGGGAGCAAACAGGAUUAGAUACCCCGGUAGUCCCUGUCUCUUAUAC